This is a long non-coding RNA of Piliocolobus tephrosceles (Ugandan red Colobus), 940 nucleotides long. RefSeq lists it as uncharacterized. The record is from RefSeq and is a predicted model, not a curated record. NCBI's taxonomy places the organism in Eukaryota, Metazoa, Chordata, Mammalia, Primates, Cercopithecidae. The transcript has 4 exons.
UAGACAUCAGGUCGUCAGGUCUGGAGGGUUAGGUAGGGAAAGCAUCAGGUCUGAAGUGUCCUUCCAAGCAGUGGAGAGGGAAGACUGGAGGCAGGUCAGUGGCGACAGGGACAGAGAGGGGCAACUGGCUGGCUCAGCCAACUCUGAUUUUUGCUGAUUUUUUCACUGAAAGAUGAUGCCCAUGUCCUCUUGCUCACCAGUAUCUAUCAGCAAUAUCUACGAUAGCGGUCCACAUCUUGACCAACACUUGACAUUACCAAUUGUUUUACUGUAACCAUUCUGGAUGAAACAGUCAUAAGGAGAGAUGGUUCUUCCUGAAGCCAUUGUGAUUCAGAAGAAGCCAAGUUCUGUGGAGGGACAGUGGAAACUAUGCUCCACAUGGUUCUUCCUGAAGCCAUUGUGAUUGGGAAGAAGCCAAGUUCUGUGGAGGGACAGUGGAAACUAUGCUCCACACCCAUCCUACCCCAAAGUCAUUCUCCCCAGAGCUCUCCAGGUGGCCCCUCACCUGCUCACAGCCUUGCACUCGAAGUGGCCUAUUAUCGUUCACGGUUAGCCUCCUAAAACAUGUCAGUGACAUUUGCCAAUUAUAUCUUUCUCAAUUCUAAAUUAUACUGCUCAAUAUUUGAUCCCCUCAUGGUCAGGUGUUCUAUGUUUUCUUACACAGCAAUAAGGUCAACUCAUAAAUGAAUUCAUGCUGAUGUUCUAAUGGGAAGAGCCUGAAGGAAUCCCUGAGCACACUCUCUUUCUUUCCACAUAGCAAAUAUACGGCUGAAUAAUAGGCAGUGGGAGACCAUAUUCCCAUUUUUACAGUGUUGGAGAAUGAUUUCCAAAUCUUAGUAACUAUGGCGAAGCUUUAAUCCAACCUACAAAAGAAGAGGGAAAUAAUGACCAUUGUAACGAGUUUCAUGAGACUAAAUUUAAUCACUUUAAGGGACUGCGU